This is a long non-coding RNA of Pipra filicauda (Wire-tailed manakin), 2504 nucleotides long. RefSeq lists it as uncharacterized. Lineage: Eukaryota; Metazoa; Chordata; Aves; Passeriformes; Pipridae. The transcript is spliced from 4 exons. The record is from RefSeq and is a predicted model, not a curated record.
CUAAUAGAAACAUUUUCGUUGUCUUUCACAGCAGAGCCAGAUUAAGGUCUAACUGGGCUUUGUUCCUUCUAAUUUUGUCCCUGGAUAAUGUCACGACAUCCUUGUAGUCCUCCUGAGCUGCCUGGCUCUUCUUCCAAGUGUCAUAAACACUUUUUUCCCCUGAAUGCCAGACAAGGCUCUCUGGUCAGGCAGGUCAGUCUGUCCCACCAACUCAUCUUUUUGGGAUAUAGCGAUGGCUACUCCUGCACCUUUAAGAUUUUCUUCUUGAAGAAUGUCCAGCCUUCUUGGACCUUCAGGACUGCCUCCCAGAUACUCUGUUGACCAGACUCCUAAACAAGCCAAAGUCUGCCCUCCAGAAGUCCAAGGUGGCAGUUCUGCUCACUCCUGACCUCACUUUGACAACUGAAAAUUCUAUAAUUUCAUUAAUGGUAUGCCCAAGACAUCCUCUAACCAUCCAAGAUCACUUAGGACUAACUGACAUGUGCUUGAUUUUAUAGACAGCGCUCAGUGUGCUGUUACGCUUCUUUGUUCUUUGCUGUGGUCAUCAACAACACCUGUUUGGCCAAGUGCCUAGGACCUGCAAGGCUGGUAAGGAAGGGUGUAAUUGGACUGGCACUCAGGAAUCUUGAGACCCGUAUGGAGUAGAAGAAGAAAUAUUUUUUAUUUUUCUAGUUGGCUCACAGGAAAUGAAUGCAUCACCCACUCAGCCAUAGAGAAUGGCUGUUUGCUUUAUAAAAUAAUAUAAGUUAUGCUAACCACAUUACCAGGGGUGGGGAGCAGGACAAUACCGGUCACAUAUGGUAUCUCCUUGGGCCCUAGGAUUGAUGAAACCUAUUUUCUUCAGUAAGAAGGCACAAAUUAUAGCAAAUUACCAUCCCAAACUCUUUGCCAAGAGGAAUCUUAUGCUUAAGAAUGAAAACUUGACUAAUUUAUUCAGGAAGAUAAGUGUAAAUGAGAAGCAAAUACUUUUGAUUAUUAAGAGACGGAGUGCUUCCAAAACGACAGGAAGUUGAAGCUGAAUAUGCCUCAGUACCCCGUAGGAAAUGUACUACACAAAUACAAAGGCAGCUCCUCUGAGAACAUGUUCGAUGAGACAUGCAAUGACGCACAGGAUUGGUGAAGCCAGGAGGACACAGGUUAAAACAGAAGAACAUGAUGCUUCAAGCAAUGGGUUAUCAAGCUGUCUUCAGUCUAGGAAACUGUAACUGUUAAAAGUUUAACAAGUUUGGCAGAGACUGACAGCUAGGGAAGAAAAAUCACAGAAUCUCUGAGGCUGGAAGGAAUCCCUGGAUAUUAUCUAGUUUAACAUCCUUGCUCAGUCAUGGUCAGCUAUCAUAAGUUGCUCCAUGUCUCCACAAAUGAAGCCUCCACAACCUCUUUGGGCAAUCUCUUCCUGUUUGAUUACCCUCACAGUAUUUUCUUUUUCUUACACUUAAAUGGAAUUAAAUAUCUGAUCAUUGUGUGUUGUCCCGUCACUGAACAACCCCGAGGAGAGUUUGGAUCCAUCUUUUUUACCUCCUCCCAGCACAUAUUUGCACACAUUGAUAAGAAUAUAUAUGAAUGACAUCUUGUGAGACACUGAAAUGGUUUAGGGCUUAAACAUUGUUAAAAUCCCUGAAGGACUUUUGUCCACUGUAGCAGACUGUGCAAAGAAGCAACUGCUCACCAAGGCCUAGCCCCCCCUGAACAUCCCUACUAAUUUGGACUGUGAUAGGAACUUGAGAUAAGAUAAAGGUACUAUGCCCAAUUAUCCUAGGAGAAGAAUGCAUCCACAAGUGUGAAAGACUGGAAUGCUGAUGUCUCAAACAAUCAAGGUGCAAACUGACAAUGUGCAGAGUAACUGCCCAGGUGCUGAGGGUGUGCACACCAGACACCUCAGGCUACCAGUUGGGUAUUGAUCAAGAUAAGGAAAGAAGCAAAUCCUUCAAGGUGGGAUAGUGUUUCUUUGUCCUUACAGGAGUGAUUCAGCUGUGAUAACUCCCCUCUGGGGAAGCAUUGGGACAAUUCACAUAUAGCCUGAAGACGUUAAUCUCUGCUGAUAGGCCAUAAGGAACUCAAGGCUGAUGUAACAGCCAGCUGUAACAUCUUAGAAAGUGUCAGAGACUCAUGACAUGUCCUGUGAUCCAGUAUUACAUCAUCCCUUGUAAAACUCCCUACUCCAGGGGUGGCACCAGAGGCAUUUCUACCUAGCCUGAGCCCAAUAAAAGACACGACAGACUGCUCAACAUACUUAGAUUUCCCCUACCAUGGGCUUCUUCUUUCACGCACACAGACUUCUUCCAUUACCACAGAGGACUUCCUUCACCAACAUGGACUUCUUCCCUCACUACACUGGGCUUCCCUCAGCAGAUUCAGACUGCAACUAUCACUUUGACAAGAAUGGGAUUCUCACCACCAAGAAGACCAGAAGAAUAGAAUCAAUGGGACGCCGUCAGAAUCCAAGGAUGUUGAUAUAAUUUCUUCCUAAUCUGUCUCUCUGUCACUCUCUUUCUGUCCCCCCCUCU